This 292-nucleotide ribosomal RNA is filed under the name uncultured bacterium. RNAcentral's name for it is "partial 16S ribosomal RNA". It matches the Rfam family "Bacterial small subunit ribosomal RNA", at positions 505 to 796 of the family's 1533-position model. The record is from RNAcentral.
GUGUCAGCCGCCGCGGUAAUACGGAGGGUGCAAGCGUUAUUCGGAAUUACUGGGCGUAAAGCGCGUGCAGGCGGCUUGGAAAGUCUGAUGUGAAAGCCCCGGGCUUAACCUGGGAAGUGCAUUGGAAACUCUCAAGCUUGAGUACUGGAGAGGAAGGGAGAAUUCCCGGUGUAGAGGUGAAAUUCGUAGAGAUCGGGAGGAACACCAGUGGCGAAGGCGCCCUUCUGGACAGAUACUGACGCUGAGACGCGAAAGCGUGGGGAGCAAACAGGAUUAGAAACCCCCGUAGUCC